AUUCCCCCCCCAUAUCUUUUCCCUCCCCCUCCUUCCUAUCUCCCUUCUCUCCCUUUGCCCUCCUCCUUCCUCCCCGCCCCCACCUAGCCUUUUGCUGCUUUCUCUCUUUUCCCUCCCAAAUCAACUAGGAGUCUACCAAAUGCCACUCUGCUGAGGUCCAGUGGUCGGCAACGUACAAGGUCCAUUCAACAUGAGAGUUCUUGACCAGGUCCGCACAUCCGAGCCCCCCGCCCCAGCACUGAAAUAUAAAAGAUUCUCAGGCCCACCCAGGCCUACCCCAUUAGAAUUCGAAAGGGCACAGACUAAGAAAGGGGUUUUGAAAACACUUCCCUGUGACUUUGUUACGCAUAAAACCACCACCCUGCGGGCGGGCGGACAAUAGUCAGGCACUCCGUGGUGAGUGCUGGGAAAGAGGUAUGAACAAGAAGCUGUGGCAGCAGAGAGAAGCCAUGCACGCAGCGGUUAAAGAGAUUUGGUGGUCGGGGAAAUGUCAUAGGGGUAAACUGAGUCUUGAAUGACGACUGGGAGGCUUACUGGGUUUUAAGGGCAGAUGAAAGCCCAAGAGAUAGGAGAGGUCAUUGGACAGAUCUGUAGGUCACUUCAGGGGCUCUCUCGUUCAGCACAGCUGGGUGAGCAUAAGCAAAGAGGGAGAGCACUGGGGUGCGACUAGGGUGGCAGCUAGGGGCCAAGUGGUGCCAGCAUUAGCCGUCUGCCAACUCGUCUGAAUUUUUGCCUGAAAUCUGUGGGAAAAUCUUGAGAGUUUUAAGGAGGACAUAAUAGAGACAUAUUUACAUUUGAGAUGAGUAAACCCACGGCGGUGCUAUGAGGCCAAGUCAAGGAAGACCAUCAAGGGAGUUCUUACAGUCACGUAAACCCAGGGUCAGUCCCCAAUGUGAUUUAAACAUGAGCUCAAGACGGCUGUGUGAGUCACGCGGGCGGAAUUUACCGGUCGAUUUCCAAAUGUGUCCCCUUGUGCCUGUGCAGACCCAGUGGGCGGUACUUCUCCUGUAAUGCCAUAAUCUACCACUUUAACCUUAUUGUUCAGGGUUGCACAAGACCAUUGUCAUGCAAUUACAUCAGAUACUUUGAGCAUAUCCCUCCUCACACCUCCUGGCCCCCACUUUCUAGGAGUCCCCCUUGUUCUCCAGUUUCACAUCUACUCGGUCAUCUGUAAUAGACGGUUUGUGCUUCUCUAAAGUCUAGGACCCACAAAUGAGAGGAAACGUGUGAAGUUUGUGUUUCUGAGACUGACUUAAUUCUCUUGAUGUAAUUAUUUUACCUGACACCAAGCAAUCCAAGGGAAGAAAGGUCUAUCUGGGGCCACAGGUCUAGGGGAACAUUCCGUCAUGGUGGAGAAGGUACGCUAUGGGAGGGGGAGGAACAAGAGGGGUCACGUGUCCACAGUGACAAAGCGGAGCAUGAUGAACGCUGGUAUUCAGCUCUUUCUCCUUGUUACUCAGCCUGGAACCUCCAGCUAUGGAAUGGUGCCACCCCCGUUUAGGGUAGGCCUUUCUACCUCUAUUAACAUAAUAUGUACCCAGCAAUUUGUUUGCAUAUUAAUUCUAAUUCUCAUGAACUUGAUAAAAUUAACCAUCACAAAGUCUGAAGCAGCCAGGGAGGACACAUCAUUCAGCUUCCUUCAUUGGACCUGCUGCCUUCUGUGGCCGUCUAACAAUGGACGUAAAGGAUCUCCCACUUCCACAGGCCGUGACGGCUCCCAGGUUCCCACUUUCAAGUCACUCCUGUGGUCCUUCCACUGUAGAACUCCUGAACCCACCUUCUGGUUCCGUUUUGUUCAGUCUAUCUCUAAGGCCGGAGCAGCCGCCAGAGAACAGGAAGAGACAGGUCAAAGAAGAUUCUAGAAUAGGAUGGAAAAAAAAGGGUCCCCCUCUUGGCAGUACUCUGGCAACAUAGCAGCAUCACCGUUUUCCUCUCGGUACCAGGACAAGGACUCGGAAUCAUUGCCCACCAGUCCUACAUCCAAUCAGCCCCACAAAAGGGCUGCCAGACUUGUGCGAAAACGGGUCUUCUCAACAUUGGGGUGACUCCUGGGUUUUGGAAGACCAACAUCAGAAUUUUUGCAGCCAAGAUAUCAGCUGGUCCAAUGAGUCUGGACAGAGCAGUCUGGACUUGCUUUUAAUAAUGAGGUUUUGACUUUCAGAAAAUGCCCUGGUGGAGGAAGGAAAAGUCACCAUGCAAAGCCCUGCACUCCAAGCCCAAGGCUUGAGGAAGAGUUAUGACAGCAGCAACAGCAGCCCGGCUCCUCUUGGGGGUCUGCCAGCGUCCCCACACUCGACAGUCUUCUGGAGUCUAUACCAUGCGCUCUGAGUCUCAUCUCAGGUUCAGGACCACACCAAGCUGCCUCGCUUUGCUGUUGACUCUGCACCUGGAACACAUCUUAAAGAGGAGGAAGACAGUCAAGAAUCUAAAAUGGGAUGGAAGGAAGUCUUCCUCAUCCCUGGAGUUUUCUGGCAGCAGGAAUGAUGCCAUGCUUUCUCAGUGCUGUGAUGGAUAACGGGACUGGCCCCUUAGCUGAGACAAAGGUCUCGUAUAACCCAGGCUGGCUUCAAAUUCACUAUGGAGCUGAGGUCUCUACCUCUCUACAAGUGCUGGGAUGACAGGCAUGUGCCACUUUAUCUGGUUUUAUGUAGAUCAGAAGAAUGGACUGUGGCUUCAUGCAUGAAUUCUCUGAUUGAGUGGAUGAAUCCCACAGUGAUCCUGUGAACCAAUGUCAAUCGAAUGUGUAAUACCUGCCAGGCCUGCUUGGAAGCACGUCUCAUAAUCACUCACUUAAUCCCCCUGACAGACCUGCACAAGGGCACCAUCCAUAUCUUCAUUUUAGGGACUGGGACUUGAAAGCAGAGCAUUUCUGCCCCUUCUCAAGGGCACAGAAUUGGUAAAAGGAUGAUGUGACCCAGGCAGGUCACCCCAAGCGCCUUUGACCUCGCACACGCUCCUCUUCUGGUCUGUUGGGCUUUUCUUUCCACCUGGCAAGAAUGAAGUGGAGUCAGGGAGGGAAGGCCUAGAGAGCCACAGCUGGACACACACUUGCAGGGUCAGCCGCGAUGAAACUGACUAAGUGUGGGGCAUACAGUGAAUUGCUUUGCCUCUCCAUGCCUCAGCGUCCUCAUGUGCAAGUGGAGGAUAAGAGUGUCUGUCUCAAACGUGGAGCGGAGGAUUAAUGCGUGCCUGAAACAGAAAUCAGAUCAACUAAUGGAAGUAACUGUGGGGGUGGCUUUGAUAUCAAGCCAUCAUUUCCACAUCAGGGCUGCCUGUGGCCAUCCCAGGAGAGCCCUGCCUCCCGGAGCGGCAGGGACUCUGCUGUCUUGACUGGAAGAUCGCAAAUUCUCCCUCCCAAAGUCUUUGACAGGUAGGAAAGGGAUGGCAUUUCCAGACCCACAGCAGAACAA
This is a long non-coding RNA of Peromyscus californicus insignis, 3410 nucleotides long. RefSeq lists it as uncharacterized. NCBI's taxonomy places the organism in Eukaryota, Metazoa, Chordata, Mammalia, Rodentia, Cricetidae. The transcript has 4 exons. The record is from RefSeq and is a predicted model, not a curated record.